CUAUUUCUUUCUCCUCCCCACCCCUGCCAAAUAAAAAAAAAACCCAAAACUUUAGUAGUAUAAUGCUGCAAUUACGAAUUUGUACAACCAAAGGAGUUACGAAAGGAAUAGCAGAUCUUCCUCACAGUGCUUCCCUCCCUCAAACAUCUACAAGCUGAACGUUGGAAAAGCUAUUCAUCUUGAGAUAGAUGAGUCUUCAGGAACUUCUCUGACUUCAUUUUAUAUUCAUAGACAAAGGAGGAGGACAAUAUUGAUUGCUGCUAGACAAAGAGUCACCACCCUAGGCAUCUGUACUGUGGCCGGACACCAAUACCUGUGUUUUCUCAGAAUCCUCAUGAAAACUCAUCAUCUCUGUCUCUCUAGCAUCAGCUAUUCUCUUCCUUCCCUUGGGCCUUGAGUUCAGUUUCACAGAUACAGUUAAUCUCCUCAGCCUCUUAAAUCUGAGACCAACACAGGUCUUGCAGAGAGGUUCCCUUGUCACACAUCUAACACAGAUGAUACCAAGAAAGACGAAAAAGGGGGAAGGCUUCAUUUACUUACUGGAAGAAAGAAGAAACCAAGGUUUCUCUGGACAUCAAGUGUGUAUUUUUCUUCUGGUCUUUCUCUGCUGAUGGAAAACCUUGGUUUGUUUCUGAAGAGGGUGGAGUAAGAUGUGAUAAGCUUUGAAAAUUCCUGAAUGGCUCAAUGGCUCCUAUAGUCAAAANAAAAAAAAAAAAAAAAAAAAAAAAAAGAUGAAAAGGAUAGUGGACAAGCAACUAGUUAGAAGGGACUUUAUAUGAUGUAAAGACAGUGUUGAUCUUGCCAAAAUUCUGUCAUUCAUGAGACAUUUGUGAGAAGUGUACUGGCUCUCUGUGAUUUCCAGAAAAGCAAACACUCUGUGUGCUCA
This 886-nucleotide long non-coding RNA is filed under the name Anser brachyrhynchus (Pink-footed goose). RNAcentral's name for it is "lncRNA (ENSABRG00000019364.1)". The record is from RNAcentral. Lineage: Eukaryota; Metazoa; Chordata; Aves; Anseriformes; Anatidae.